CGCGGCGCGGGCCGCGGCCGGGGCGGAGGGCGGCCUCGGCGGGGCAGCUCCCCCCCUUCCCCCCCUCCCCACACACAACCGCCCCCGGUAACGGCCGCCGCGCGCCGGGGCCCAGGGCCAGGUCCCCCUUCCAAAAUGCCUUUGCUUGAAAAGCAAGAAAAUGGUGAGCAGGUGUUGAUGAAAAAUGAAAGCUAUUUGCAAAUCUUGAAAAAUAAGGAUCAGAGAAAGAGACUUGUCCAUGAAAUCUGUUCCUUUUUAGACAGCAGUCAGUCUGUCCAAGAAAUUAAUGCUUUGAGGACAGAAAAUAGGAAGCUAAAAAAUGCGAACUCAAGACUGCGAUAUAAAACAAAAGUGAGAUUGAGAGACUUUCUGGCGAGAUAUCCAGCUACUUAA
RNAcentral lists this long non-coding RNA (393 nucleotides) under Apteryx rowi (Okarito brown kiwi). Its description in RNAcentral is "lncRNA (ENSARWG00000008595.1)". Lineage: Eukaryota; Metazoa; Chordata; Aves; Apterygiformes; Apterygidae. The record is from RNAcentral.